GACGAACGCUGGCGGCGUGCUUAACACAUGCAAGUCGAACGCUGAAGCUUGGUGCUUGCACUGGGUGGAUGAGUGGCGAACGGGUGAGUAAUACGUGAGUAACCUGCCCUUGACUCUGGGAUAAGCCUGGGAAACUGGGUCUAAUACUGGAUACGACAUGACACUGCAUGGUGGUGUGUGGAAAGGGUUUUACUGGUUUUGGAUGGGCUCACGGCCUAUCAGCUUGUUGGUGGGGUAAUGGCCUACCAAGGCGACGACGGGUAGCCGGCCUGAGAGGGUGACCGGCCACACUGGGACUGAGACACGGCCCAGACUCCUACGGGAGGCAGCAGUGGGGAAUAUUGCACAAUGGGCGGAAGCCUGAUGCAGCGACGCCGCGUGAGGGAUGACGGCCUUCGGGUUGUAAACCUCUUUCAGCACGGAAGAAGCGAGAGUGACGGUACGUGCAGAAGAAGCGCCGGCUAACUACGUG
RNAcentral lists this ribosomal RNA (472 nucleotides) under uncultured bacterium. RNAcentral's name for it is "partial 16S ribosomal RNA". It matches the Rfam family "Bacterial small subunit ribosomal RNA", at positions 28 to 507 of the family's 1533-position model. The record is from RNAcentral.